This is a long non-coding RNA of Condylura cristata (star-nosed mole), 1107 nucleotides long. RefSeq lists it as uncharacterized. The record is from RefSeq and is a predicted model, not a curated record. The transcript is spliced from 4 exons. Lineage: Eukaryota; Metazoa; Chordata; Mammalia; Eulipotyphla; Talpidae.
CUCAGGAUUUGCAGACUUUAUUUUAAUGUCUUCUCAAGUAAUUUCAACUGAAAGAAUUAGCAAUAGUUAUAAGUGAACUUAACUGGAAAUUCAACUAAUGGUUUAUGGAGCUGAACAAAUCAAGUUUACUUCUAACAUACCAAGAAGUGUGGAAUUGGAGUUUUUCUUUGUGCCAUAGCUCACUGAGGAGAUAUGCAUUCGCAGAAACAAGUCAGUUUUUGUGGCAGGAGGAAGCUUUGGGAAGCAUCUGUAAAGACUUCAAGGACGUCCUUCUGGUUCUUCAACAAAACUGCUUCCAGUCAAAUGUCCUUGGCCAAUACUGCAUUGAAUGUGCUCGAGCAGCACAAGAGGCUGGGGGAAAGUGGUGAGCCAGGCAGCCCUGUGGAGGCAUGUGACUAGGAACUGAAGUCCUUACUUCAUCCAACUACUCUUUCUGAGGCUGCCAGUGUCCACACGAGUAAAUUUGAAGUGAAUCUCUAGCUGUUGCCACUGGGGACAGCUUGACUGCAACCUCUUGAGAGACCUUGAGCCCCAGUCUCACAGGGGGCAGCCAGUUGCCUUAGUGGUGAUUCCAGAGGUGUGCAACAAAUAAUUGAUCAGAAAUGCCACUUUUCAGAAGUAACUAAUACAAGUAUCAUACUGUUAGAAAACAAUGAGGAGCAAACUCCCAAGUGGCAAAUGACAUCCUGAAUGAUCUGUAACCCUUGACUUUUCCAAACUCCACCCUAUUUCCCACCUGAGAUUACAAGGCCUGAGGACAACUCCCAGAAUGCCAUGAACUUCCCUCUCUGAAUGGGUGGGUGCUGCUGGCCUGAAGUGGAGCUGAAGGGCCAUGUUGGACUUAAAAGACAACAGGCUGGCCUUGUUCUCUUGCUUCCCGGCUUUGACUUACAUCUUCGUCAGGCUCAGAUGCUAUUGAUGAUAGGAUAAAUGAGUCAUCUAAUCUCUUUAUCUCCAUUCUCCCUCUUCUUACUCCCUUUGUAAAUUAUUGUUUUGAUUCUCUCUGCAUGUCUGCUUUUGGACCUUUUCCUGAGUUCUUAAGUCCACAGGUAAGACUUACAACCCAAAUCACCCCCACUUUUCCUGGGGUUGCCCUGGAGCAAUAGA